Molecule: ribosomal RNA, 486 nt
Filed under: uncultured Gammaproteobacteria bacterium
Lineage: Bacteria; Pseudomonadati; Pseudomonadota; Gammaproteobacteria
Description: bacterial SSU rRNA
Rfam family: Bacterial small subunit ribosomal RNA
Source: RNAcentral
GAUGAACGCUGGCGGCGUGCCUAACACAUGCAAGUCGAGCGGCAGCACUGGAGCAAUCCUGGUGGCGAGCGGCGGACGGGUGAGUAAUGCUUUGGAACCUGCCCAUCAAUGGGGGACAACCCGGGGAAACUCGGGCUAAUACCGCAUACGUCCUACGGGAGAAAGCGGGGGAUCGCAAGACCUCGCGUUGAUGGAUGAGCCAAAGUCGGAUUAGCUAGUUGGUGAGGUAAUGGCUCACCAAGGCGACGAUCCGUAGCUGGUCUGAGAGAACGACCAGCCACACCGGAACUGAGACACGGUCCGGACUCCUACGGGAGGCAGCAGUGGGGAAUAUUGGACAAUGGGGGAAACCCUGAUCCAGCGACGCCGCGUGGGUGAAGAAGGCCUGCGGGUUGUAAAGCCCUUUCGUUGGGGAAGAAAAGUUGCUACCUAACACGUAGCGACCUUGACGUUACCCAAAGAAGAAGCACCGGCUAACUAUGUGCC